CAUUACUGAGAAAGCAACCUUGGAUGCUUGCUGGCCUUUUCAAAUGGGCAUGUGCACUCCUUGGUGAAUUUCUUCUUCUUUCACCCCCCCCCCUUUGUGCACUCUUUGUAGGCUCGAGGAAUUGAGCCUAUGUUUAUUCCACACACACUUGAUUGAAUGUAUGAUGGUUUUGGGCAAUAAAUUUUGAUACAACUUUCAACAAUGGAUCUCUUGGCUCUCGCACCGAUGAAGAACGCAGCGAAAUGCGAUACGUAAUGUGAAUUGCAGAAUUCCGUGAAUCAUCGAAUCUUUGAACGCACCUUGCGCCUCUUGGUAUUCCGAGAGGCAUGCCUGUUUGAGUGUCAUUUAAUUCUCAAACCUGAAUUUUCUUUUGUAGUUCAGGCUUGGAUUUGGAGUGUGCCGGCCUUGACAAGGUCGGCUCCUCUGAAAUUUAUUAGUGAAGAGGCUCUCUUAUCCCCCCGAAAGCUAUUUUUGGCAUUGAUAACUUGUCUGUGCCUUUCCUGCUUGGUGGGAUUUUUUUGUAGCAGCUCGCUCACAAAUACACAAUAGAAGCUCUAUUCUUUUUGACCAAAUUGACCUCAAAUCAGGUAGGACUACCC
Molecule: ribosomal RNA, 599 nt
Filed under: uncultured Basidiomycota
Lineage: Eukaryota; Fungi; Basidiomycota
Description: eukaryotic LSU rRNA
Rfam family: 5.8S ribosomal RNA (bases 191-344)
Source: RNAcentral